CAGUUGUGUGUCUUCAUCGUUUGCCCGAACGACUCCGCCCUGCUGGAGGGAAACACUCAAGGCAGCAGUGGCCAACUUAACACUAGACCAGCAACGUUUUCCUUUGUUAUAUACAUUUUUACUCUGACCGGUCGUCGAUACAUUCAGGUGGUCAUUCGACUCCAAUCACGAUCAGCUGUUCACUGAAGAGGAGCAACUAUUGGACAAGAAGGACGCCAUAUAGACGAGAUUCAGCUUGCUGUGAAAUUUCAUCCAGUGUCGCCAGUUGCUUUCCCGAUUCUCUUCAGCCCCGUGAACACGUCAGAUUGUUCGGCCACGAUUUCAUCGUCUCGCACACAUAAAAUAAAUAAAACGGGCCCAGAAAAAAAAAAAGGGAAUGAAAACGACAAGACUCUCGCAUUCCACUUUGAUCGUUCCACAACGUGAAUCCUGAAUAAACAACACCACAAUCA
Long non-coding RNA from Daphnia magna, 452 nucleotides. RefSeq lists it as uncharacterized. The record is from RefSeq and is a predicted model, not a curated record. NCBI's taxonomy places the organism in Eukaryota, Metazoa, Arthropoda, Branchiopoda, Diplostraca, Daphniidae. The transcript is spliced from 2 exons.